GACGAACGCUGGCGGCGUGCUUAACACAUGCAAGUCGAACGGUGAAGCGCCUUCCUUUUUGGUGGGUGUGGAUGAGUGGCGAACGGGUGAGUAACACGUGAGUAACCUGCCCCCUUCUUCUGGAUAACCGCAUGAAAGUGUGGCUAAUACGGGAUAUUCUGGGUCUGUCGCAUGAUGGGUCUGGGAAAGAUAUUGUUUCGGUGGGGGAUGGGCUCGCGGCCUAUCAGCUUGUUGGUGGGGUGAUGGCCUACCAAGGCGGUGACGGAUAGCCGGCCUGAGAGGGUGGACGGUCACACUGGGACUGAGACACGGCCCAGACUCCUACGGGAGGCAGCAGUGGGGAAUAUUGCACAAUGGGCGCAAGCCUGAUGCAGCGACGCCGCGUGAGGGAUGGAGGCCUUCGGGUUGUGAACCUCUUUCGCCAGUGAAGCAGGCCUGCCUCGUUUGUGGGUGGGUUGACGGUAGCUGGAUAAGAAGCGCCGGCUAACUACGUG
Molecule: ribosomal RNA, 494 nt
Filed under: uncultured bacterium
Lineage: Bacteria
Description: partial 16S ribosomal RNA
Rfam family: Bacterial small subunit ribosomal RNA
Source: RNAcentral